CCUACGGGAGGCAGCAGUGAGGAAUAUUGGUCAAUGGACGAGAGUCUGAACCAGCCAAGUAGCGUGAAGGCUGACUGCCCUCUGGGUUGUAAACUUCUUUUAUAAAGGAAUAAAACGAGGCACGUGUGCCUUUUUGCAUGUACUUUAUGAAUAAGGCUCGGCUAACUACGUGCCAGCAGCCGCGGUAAUACGGAGGAUCCGAGCGUUAUCAGGAUUUAUUGGGUGUAAAGGGAGCGUAGAUGGGUUGUUAAGUCAGGUGUGAAAGUUUGCGGCUCAACCGUAAAAUUGCAAUUGAUACUGGCAGGCUUGAGUACAGUAGAGGUAGGCGGAAUUCGUGGUGUAGCGGUGAAAUGCUUAGAUAUCACGAAGAACCCCGAUUGCGAAGGCAGCUUACUAAACUGUGACUGACAUUGAUGCUCGAAAGUGUGGGUAUCAAACAGGAUUAGAUACCCCAGUAGUC
Molecule: ribosomal RNA, 460 nt
Filed under: uncultured bacterium
Lineage: Bacteria
Description: partial 16S ribosomal RNA
Rfam family: Bacterial small subunit ribosomal RNA
Source: RNAcentral